GAGGUUCUCCGCAGAGCAGACAAAGCCGCAGCCGCGAUGCGGGGAGAACUCGCCUCUGCGCGCUGUGGGGGCCGGGAUGGGGUGCCUGAUUGGAGGGUGGGACCCCAUGGCAAAAGACGGGGUCCCUUCAUCCCCAAGCGGCAAGCCAUCCCCCCUCAUCCCCUCCUGCCCCCCAGUCUCUGGAGAUCUGAGAGGCACCGACUGGGAGGGUGGACCCAUGGGGCCUCCAGCCACUCUGGCCAACCCUUCGACCCUCAAGAACCUCCAUCAGCACCAGGGAGCCUGGGCUCUGGGAACCUCCUCUCUGCCCCAGCAGCUUCUUCUUUGUGCCCUUCCCUCCCAUUUCUGCACCCCAAUUUCCAGAGGGCCUGUGGCCAAGGGUGAGAACCCACCGACCCCCAGGGAGAAGCCCUGCAGAGCAGAGACCUCACCCGGAGGAGCCUCCUCAUCCUCUCCUCCAGCUUCCAUCCCCUGGACAUCUUGACACCAUCCUUCAGCAUCUCCUCUCUCACUAUAUCCUGACUGCUUGGACCACCCCCCUCUCCAGCCCCAGUGAACAGCACAUUGUGGAGGGGGCAUUUUGCAAGGUUUGAUCCCCGCCUCCAGAGCUGUCCUAGGGUGGGGGGAAGGUCUGGCAGCCCAGGAAUUAAGUUGCCCCUAGCCCAGCCCUCUGUCUUGUUUUCAGCUUACAGUUGAGAGGAACAGUGGUAGAGGUGACUCCAAGAUAUGUGCAUGGAGGGAUAUAGCUGAGUCUGCGCGGUGGGGUGGGUGUGGAAGGCUGAAAGGAACAGAAUGGCUCACCAGCUCUAAGUUGUCUUUUGUGAAGGGUGGGAGGAGUCUGGAAGGCCUUCUAGCUACUGGCCUCCCUCCUCCUUCCUCCUUGCUUAGCAACUGUUGCCUGGUAAAUAUUUGCCCCACCAGGAUCUGGGGCUGGAGCGCUGGCGUCAGCCCGGGAAGCUGCCCCUCUCCUCAAUUCCUGGGCUUCCCCUCUGCCCAGCUCUCCACUCCCCAGCACCCUGGCCUGGGCUCCAGAUGUGAUCCCCGCCCCACCCUCACCUCAAAGCUCAGUUCUUUUUCCCUCAAGGUAGACUUCCUCCCCAACCUCCUCCCUCUACCCUCUCUUCUCUCUCCCUUCAUCCCCAGUUACCCUCUGUGCUAAACUGUCUCCGGUCCAUCCUCUACUCUAGUUCACUCAGUUACCUGAGUGAGGCCCAACCUUUAAUCUAGACAAGCCUCUCCCCCACCACAUCCUACUGGGAGCCCAGACUGGCUAUCGCUUCUGGUACAUCACUGGUGCUCACUGAGCUCCAAGACUGCACCCCUCUGCUCCAACAGAAAACACACCCCCACCCCUAAGCCUUAGCUGAGUGCCCCGAAGCUCCAGGCAGAGGGAGGCGAGGGCAUGUGGGAUGUUUUGAUGGACACCCAGUCUGUUGUCCGUUCCCAGGCUAGGAAGCUCUGCUUCAGGAAGCCAGCACCAUUUUCACCUCCUCUGGGGGCAGGAUUGAGGGGACCAUGGCCAAGAGGAAACAGAUGCCCCUUCGGCCUCUCCCUGGGCAGCCUGACAGCAGACCAGCCUCAGACUGUGUAUCCUGUCCCUCCCAGCCAGGCGCCUCCCCUCCUCCAGUGGU
This is a long non-coding RNA of Camelus dromedarius (Arabian camel), 1631 nucleotides long. RefSeq lists it as uncharacterized. Lineage: Eukaryota; Metazoa; Chordata; Mammalia; Artiodactyla; Camelidae. The record is from RefSeq and is a predicted model, not a curated record. The transcript has 3 exons.